This 253-nucleotide ribosomal RNA is filed under the name uncultured bacterium. RNAcentral's name for it is "partial 16S ribosomal RNA". It matches the Rfam family "Bacterial small subunit ribosomal RNA", at positions 524 to 776 of the family's 1533-position model. The record is from RNAcentral.
UACGUAGGUGGCAAGCGUUGUCCGGAAUUAUUGGGCGUAAAGCGCGCGCAGGCGGUCCUUUAAGUCUGAUGUGAAAGCCCACGGCUCAACCGUGGAAGGUCAUUGGAAACUGGGGGACUUGAGUGCAGAAGAGGAAAGUGGAAUUCCAAGUGUAGCGGUGAAAUGCGUAGAGAUUGGAAAGAACACCGAUGGCGAAGGCACUUUACUGGGCUAUUACUAACACUCAGAGACGAAAGCUAGGGUAGCAAAUGGG